UAGUACCUAGUGCGCCAGAAUUACACUAAAAGAUUUUGGAGAUAAAUCUGAACUUUAGGUGGUGCUCUCACAUUGCAAGUAUAAGCAAUGUUCCUAAAUAGGAUUUCACAGGGACAAUAGUUGCUUCUGAAGAUACGCGCAUUUCUCUCCAACCAAAUGGCAUAGAACAUCUCUACACAUGCCAUUUUGAAAACUUGAGCUUUAGGGGAUUUCCCUUUGGU
This 221-nucleotide long non-coding RNA is filed under the name Nicotiana benthamiana. Its description in RNAcentral is "long non-coding RNA (NBEN_LNC008419)". Lineage: Eukaryota; Viridiplantae; Streptophyta; Magnoliopsida; Solanales; Solanaceae. The record is from RNAcentral.